RNAcentral lists this small RNA (4370 nucleotides) under Pongo abelii (Sumatran orangutan). Its description in RNAcentral is "retained intron". The record is from RNAcentral. Lineage: Eukaryota; Metazoa; Chordata; Mammalia; Primates; Hominidae.
AUGCAAGGUCAAAUCAUUCAGAGCCUCCUAGACCAUGUGAACACAUGUAUUAUGCUGUGGAGAUACUGUUUAAUAGGCAGUCUGCUUUUUUUUAUGCAGUACCAAAUAUGCCCCAACAGCGGCAAGACCAGCAUCAUCAGAGUGCCAUGAUGCACCCAGCGUCAGCAGCGGGCCCACCGAUUGCAGCCACCCCACCAGCUUACUCCACGCAAUAUGUUGCCUACAGUCCUCAGCAGUUCCCAAAUCAGCCCCUUGUUCAGCAUGUGCCACAUUAUCAGUCUCAGCAUCCUCAUGUCUAUAGUCCUGUAAUACAGGGUAAUGCUAGAAUGAUGGCACCACCAACACAUGCCCAGCCUGGUUUAGUAUCUUCUUCAGCAACUCAGUACGGGGCUCAUGAGCAGACGCAUGCGAUGUAUGUUUCCACGGGCUCCCUUGCUCAGCAGUAUGCGCACCCUAAUGCUACCCUGCACCCACAUACUCCACACCCUCAGCCUUCAGCUACCCCCACUGGACAGCAGCAAAGCCAACAUGGUGGAAGUCAUCCUGCACCCAGUCCUGUUCAGCACCAUCAGCACCAGGCUGCCCAGGCUCUCCAUCUGGCCAGUCCACAGCAGCAGUCAGCCAUUUACCACGCGGGGCUUGCGCCAACUCCACCCUCCAUGACACCUGCCUCCAACACGCAGUCGCCACAGAAUAGUUUCCCAGCAGCACAACAGACCGUCUUUACGAUCCAUCCUUCUCACGUUCAGCCGGCGUAUACCAACCCACCCCACAUGGCCCACGUACCUCAGGUAAACCAGCUUUAGCCAACUUUCUGUGAAGGCCAAGUAGAAUGUGAAUGUUAUCAGUAAGCAGCUAGAGGCUCUCCCAGCUAGGAAACCCUGUGUGUCAUGCCAUUUGCCUGUCUCCCUUUCCCUCUCAAAUACACGUGAUCUGGCCCUAAGGGAAUGUUUGUGUGGUUUUGUCAUGGGAUCAGUGAAGGUGCUGAUUGGUCAGGCCUUUAGUUUUCCAACUGAGACCUUAAAAAUAUCUUUGACUCUGGAAUGCAACUCAGUCCUUCUUUCCUUUCUGUGUCUGCUUUGCUACGUCUAUAUAGCCUCACUACUAUAUAUAUGUGUACAUAUAUAUCCCCCUACACACUUACCUUGGAAGCCAGGCAGGGAUGAUGGCCUUCACAGAGUUUCAGCUCUCUGAGGUGACUACCGGGGCCUGUCAACUUGAUUGUUACUCACAUGAGUUCCAGACACAUCUUUCCAAUUGUUUUCCCUGGUUAUCCAUAUAUCUGCUUUGACCAUAAGUUGUACUCUUGAGAGGGCUUGGCCUUGGACAUUGGUGCAGUGUAACUAGAAGCUGGAAGCACCCAGGUGGUCCCAUUUUUCUUUAAGAGCAGCCCUGGAAGCACUUUGGAGCUCACCUCCAGUGUAAGCUGCUACAGGUGAAAGGUGUGCUUGCCAUCUCAGUGGUUGCUGUCUGCAUCAGCUGCUGACAAAGGUCCCUGCACUCCAGGGCCCAGGGGAUUGUCUUAAUGAGGAGAAGGAGCUGCACUGAAGUUGGGCUCUAACGCUGGCCUUGAGGCCCUCCCUGGGGCUGUUACGGGUGAAUUGGCUGUAUUAGAUGUCUCUGCUACUUUCAUAACAGAACUCUCUGAGGCGGGUCUAAGUGAGACCUGCCACAAUGAAUUCCAUUUCCUGUUAAAUAGUGCGCCAGUGAGGCUCUGGCAAGGUGUGGGCUAGAGAUGCGACUCAGUUGGAUCUAUCUCUCAGAAGGCUACCUUGUAAGUAGAGUUCCACAGCUCUGGGAAGUUUGGGCGUCCUCACCCUGCAAAGUUUAGGUUCUGUGGUGUAGCGCACUGCAGUUGAUUUGCUUUUUGAUAGUGGGGAGGGAAGCCGGUUUGGUCCAUGUGGGCCAGCGUGGUUUGGUGGAGUCAGCUUCGUAAGAGCUGGGGUCCUGUAGGUGUCUAGCAGAGGCUGGUGGCUAAGUAGGCAUGUGAACUUACAUGUAAGUCAGGGAUCCCUAAAACCUCACUCAGUUUUUGUGCUGAAAGGGCAAAAAGGUUAACACAGGGAAGCUCAAAUAUGCCAUGUGCCCAUUUGAAUAUGUGAGAGUAAAAACGGCAUUUCUUCCAAGACUUAUCAUAGUCUAGAACAGUGCACAGUGUGGGAAAAAGGAAACAAGGGCUCUUCCUGGCCCUGCCAACCCCCUGCAGCACUGGAAUCUGGCUGUUUGGGCUGACCAAAAUCACCUUUCCAACUUGACAGUGAGUGAGACCAGGUUGAACUUGGUACAGAGACACUGGGCUGGCCCAGAUGACUUCAGGUUAUUCCUUUCCAUCUCACUGGAGCCAUUAAGAACUCCAACUCGUCCUCCUCCUCCUGCUCCAUCAGCGUAUCUCUGAGAGAGUCACAGGGGCCUAAGAGUCUCUUUUCACUGCCUGGUGAGCAGACCAGAAGCAGAGGGAGAGAGGUAAAUGAACAGAGGUCCACGUAAUUCACAUACUGGACUGUGACAGUCUCUGCUUAUUAAUGUAGUAAUCUGCUUUCCUAUUUGAAAGGGAUGUUAUCUGCAAAACUACCUCAGGCCCCACAUGGCAGCCUGAUUCUGAAGCAUCAUUGAAUCUUGUAUGAUAUUAAGUUGAGAAAGCUGCCCUUGGAUCCAGUGUCUAAUCUUUGUGAAGAUCUUACCCCAUACGUAGAAUACAAUGAUCAGAAAUGUCAAGGGUUAGGACAGCACAGCCCUGACUUCUAUCCAGGCUCAGUUGGUGCCUGCUCCCUGACCCUUGCAGGAUCUGCCCAAAGGUGAAGCGCGUCUUCAGGUCAAUAGAUAAUCUACUAGAGAUUGUCCCCAGAGAACAGAACUGGGCCCUGAGGCCCACCGUUGCCCUUUCCUGAGAGUCCCAGCCCAGUGAAAGGAACACAGUUGACAUGUUGUUGAAGCCGGAGAUGUUGCCUGUAUGCGUAAAAGAGCUCUCUGUUUCAGGCUCAUGUACAGUCAGGAAUGGUUCCUUCUCAUCCAACUGCCCAUGCGCCAAUGAUGCUAAUGACGACACAGCCACCCGGCGGUCCCCAGGCCGCCCUCGCUCAAAGUGCACUACAGCCCAUUCCAGUCUCGACAACAGCGCAUUUCCCCUAUAUGACGCACCCUUCAGGUGAGGCGUGUGUGUGCAGGGGCCGCCGGGGCACCCCAAAGCAUUCUGCUCGCACAGGUGGAAUGGCAGGCAGGGCCAGUGCUUCAAGCCCCGCAUUUGAGAACUAGCAAGACCCGUCCAGGAGUGUGCACAGGAGGGACUGUGACAAUCAGUUCAGCAUCAGGGCCUGAGGCUUCCGGGAGCCGAGUCUGUGUGUGUUCUGAUGGUAUACAGGAUUUGGCUUGAUGAGAAGCAGCAGCAGCAUUCUGUGUAGCUGAUGCAUACCUAGGACUCAGUUGGCCUUCCUUGUUAUGAUAGGCUGGACAGGGCAGUGUUUUCCUUCCUGAGUCCCAAAAGUCUGACAUGUGGGGGGUUAUUACCAUGGCAGAGUUUGAUUGUAGCUCUGGAGAAGAUACUGCUGAGAAAGUGCUGUGGAUGGACUGGCUUUGAGUGUAGCGUUAGCCCCAGCCCCUGACCAGGGGAGAGCGCCCUGUGAUUGUGCUCUACUACUUGAUGGCUGCCAUGGCGAUACUUCACAGUCUGACCUGUUAUUCUGAAAGCAAUACUGGUGCUUGGCUAAUAUUUGGGGAGGGGGUUUGUUAAGGCCUUUUUUUCUACCCCAUGAACAAGUCUUCUGGGAGUUUUAUCUGAAGUGGUUUUACGUCUGACUGGUUUGUUUCUACCCACCCACCCAACCCUCCCCACUUUGGUGCAGAUGGGAGGGGGAAAAGUGAAUUCAAUUUUGAGUUUUGUUCAGCUAGCACGAGGAUAGUUUACAAUCAUGUGCUGCAGAGACACUAGGCUGAUGUGUGGUGUUGCCAGUUUUCUGUUUCAAUGUUCGCUUUUCUUUUUACAGUACAAGCCCACCACCAACAGCAGUUGUAAGGCUGCCCUGGAGGAACCGAAAGGCCAAAUUCCCUCCUCCCUUCUACUGCUUCUACCAACUGGAAGCACAGAAAACUAGAAUUUCAUUUAUUUUGUUUUUAAAAUAUAUAUGUUGAUUUCUUGUAACAUCCAAUAGGAAUGCUAACAGUUCACUUGCAGUGGAAGAUACUUGGACCGAGUAGAGGCAUUUAGGAACUUGGGGGCUAUUCCAUAAUUCCAUACGCUGUUUAAGAGUCCCACAGGUACCCCAGCUCUGCUUGCCGAAACUGGAAGUUAUUUAUUUUUUAAUAACCCUUGAAAGUCAUGAACACAUCAGCUAGCAAAAGAAGUAACAAGAGUGAUUCUUGCUGCUAUUACUGCU